Molecule: ribosomal RNA, 465 nt
Filed under: uncultured bacterium
Lineage: Bacteria
Description: partial 16S ribosomal RNA
Rfam family: Bacterial small subunit ribosomal RNA
Source: RNAcentral
CCUACGGGAGGCAGCAGUGGGGAAUUUUGCGCAAUGCUCGCAAGAGUGACGCAGCGACGCCGCGUGAAUGACGAAGGCCUUCGGGUCGUAAAGUUCUUUCGACAGGGAAGAAAAUGCCUAUAAGUAACUGUGUAUGAAUUGACGGUACCUGUAUAAGCAGCCCCGGCUAACUCCGUGCCAGCAGCCGCGGUAAUACGGAGGGGGCGGUCGUUGUUCGGAGUGACUGGGCGUAAAGAGUACGUAGGCGGUGUUGUAAGUCAUUAGUCAAAGGCUAGAGCUCAACUUUAGUAAGGCUAGUGAUACUAUAAUACUAGAGUAGCAGAGAGGAUUGCAGAAUUCCUGGUGUAGCGGUGAAAUGCGUAGAUAUCAGGAGGAAUACCGUUAGCGAAGGCGGCAAUCUGGCUGGAAACUGACGCUGAGGUGCGAAAGCGUGGGUAGCAAACAGGAUUAGAUACCCCAGUAGUC